This 301-nucleotide ribosomal RNA is filed under the name uncultured bacterium. Its description in RNAcentral is "partial 16S ribosomal RNA". It matches the Rfam family "Bacterial small subunit ribosomal RNA", at positions 509 to 807 of the family's 1533-position model. The record is from RNAcentral.
CAGUAGCCACGGUAAUACGAAGGGGGCUAGCGUUGUUCGGAAUUACUGGGCGUAAAGCGCACGUAGGCGGAUAUUUAAGUCAGGGGUGAAAUCCCAGAGCUCAACUCUGGAACUGCCUUUGAUACUGGGUAUCUUGAGUAUGGAAGAGGUGAGUGGAAUUCCGAGUGUAGAGGUGAAAUUCGUAGAUAUUCGGAGGAACACCAGUGGCGAAGGCGGCUCACUGGGCCAAUACUGACGCUCAUGCACGAAAGCGUGGGGAGCAAACAGGAUUAGAUACCCCUGUAGUCCCUGUCUCUUAUAC